UACGUAGGGGGCAAGCGUUGUCCGGAUUUAUUGGGCGUAAAGAGCGUGUAGGCGGCCAGGUAGGUCCGUUGUGAAAACUCGAGGCUCAACCUCGAGACGCCGAUGGAAACCAUCUGGCUAGAGUCCGGAAGAGGAGAGUGGAAUUCCCGGUGUAGCGGUGAAAUGCGCAGAUAUCAGGAAGAACACCCGUGGCUAAGGCGGUUCUCUAGUACGGUACUGACGCUGAGACGCGAAAGCGUGGGGAGCGAACAGG
This 253-nucleotide ribosomal RNA is filed under the name uncultured bacterium. Its description in RNAcentral is "partial 16S ribosomal RNA". It matches the Rfam family "Bacterial small subunit ribosomal RNA", at positions 524 to 776 of the family's 1533-position model. The record is from RNAcentral.